This is a long non-coding RNA of Poecilia reticulata (guppy), 457 nucleotides long. RefSeq lists it as uncharacterized. The record is from RefSeq and is a predicted model, not a curated record. NCBI's taxonomy places the organism in Eukaryota, Metazoa, Chordata, Actinopteri, Cyprinodontiformes, Poeciliidae.
CAGACUUUCACAGUAAAUGUGUUCAAAUGUCCAGCUGAUUUACUUUAUUAUGGAUGUAAAUCCCUAAUCUCAGGAAAAACAUCCCGCUUUUAAGGUUAAACGUUGUUUUUAUGGAGGAGAUUUUUGCUCGUUUUUCGCUGCCGGCUGGUUUAACGAGCUUCACAGCUCCAGAGAGAAAAACAACGUUCUGCCUCGAACGUCAGACAUUCAGACUCGGCGCUGACUUUACUCUCUGCCUGCUGCAGGGACAAGCUGGAUGCAAAACUGUCCUGAUGUCGACUUUAAGGAAUGAAACGCAGCUCAGCUACCAAAGAAACAACAAACUGUAGUUUCCUGCCGGCUGUCCUUCCAGAUCACGAAGAAACGAGGAAAAACCUGGAAGAGCCUCAGAUCUGCUGCUUUCCUCCAGCUGCCCCACAGCCAGAGCAGGGCAGAGCGGCCACACGCUGGAGCCGGG